UACAGAGGGUGCAAGCGUUAAUCGGAGUUACUGGGCGUAAAGGGCGCGUAGGCGGAUUUGUAAGUGAGAUGUGAAAUCCCUGGGCUUAACCUAGGAAUUGCAUUUUAGACUAUAAGUCUGGAGUACAGUAGAGGGUGGUGGAAUUUCCGGUGUAGCGGUGAAAUGCGUAGAGAUCGGAAGGAACAUCAGUGGCGAAGGCGGCAUCCUGGACCAAUACUGACGCUGAGGAGCGAAAGCCAGGGGAGCAAACGGG
This 253-nucleotide ribosomal RNA is filed under the name uncultured bacterium. RNAcentral describes it as "partial 16S ribosomal RNA". It matches the Rfam family "Bacterial small subunit ribosomal RNA", at positions 524 to 776 of the family's 1533-position model. The record is from RNAcentral.